GACGAACGCUGGCGGCGUGCUUAACACAUGCAAGUCGAACGGUAAGGCCCUUUCGGGGGUACACGAGUGGCGAACGGGUGAGUAACACGUGGGUGAUCUGCCCUGCACUUUGGGAUAAGCCUGGGAAACUGGGUCUAAUACCGGAUAGGACUACGCGAUGCAUGUCGUGUGGUGGAAAGCUUUUGCGGUGUGGGAUGGGCCCGCGGCCUAUCAGCUUGUUGGUGGGGUGAUGGCCUACCAAGGCGACGACGGGUAGCCGGCCUGAGAGGGUGUCCGGCCACACUGGGACUGAGAUACGGCCCAGACUCCUACGGGAGGCAGCAGUGGGGAAUAUUGCACAAUGGGCGCAAGCCUGAUGCAGCGACGCCGCGUGGGGGAUGACGGCCUUCGGGUUGUAAACCCCUUUCAGCAGAGACGAAGCGUAAGUGACGGUAUGUGCAGAAGAAGCACCGGCCAACUACGUG
This 464-nucleotide ribosomal RNA is filed under the name uncultured bacterium. RNAcentral's name for it is "partial 16S ribosomal RNA". It matches the Rfam family "Bacterial small subunit ribosomal RNA", at positions 28 to 507 of the family's 1533-position model. The record is from RNAcentral.